RNAcentral lists this ribosomal RNA (137 nucleotides) under uncultured bacterium. Its description in RNAcentral is "partial 16S ribosomal RNA". It matches the Rfam family "Bacterial small subunit ribosomal RNA", at positions 355 to 509 of the family's 1533-position model. The record is from RNAcentral.
UGGGGAAUAUUGCACAAUGGGGGGAACCCUGAUGCAGCGACGCCGCGUGAGCGAAGAAGUAUUUCGGUAUGUAAAGCUCUAUCAGCAGGGAAGAAAAUGACGGUACCUGACUAAGAAGCUCCGGCUAAAUACGUGCC